GGAGUGGGCGAUCUGGCUGUGACAUCUGUCACCCCAUUGAUCGCCAGGGUUGAUUCGGCUGAUCUGGCUGGCUAGGCGGGUGUCCCCUUCCUCCCUCACUGCUCCAUGUACGUCCCUCCCAAAGCUGCGCUCCCGGUUGAAGAGGACGACCUUCCCCGCUAGAGGAGGACCGUUCUUUGGUCAAGGGUAUACGAGUAGCUGCGCUUCCCUGCUAGAACCUCCAAACAAGCUCUUUUCUUGACUGCUUUUAUUUAAAUAUUGAGACUCACCAAGACUGAGCCUCCAAG
RNAcentral lists this small nuclear RNA (287 nucleotides) under Dasypus novemcinctus (nine-banded armadillo). Its description in RNAcentral is "7SK RNA (ENSDNOG00000026787.1)". It matches the Rfam family "7SK RNA", at positions 1 to 280 of the family's 331-position model. From Rfam's summary of the family: 7SK was discovered as an abundant small nuclear RNA in the mid-70s but a possible function has only recently been suggested. Two independent studies have found that 7SK RNA binds the CDK9/cyclin T complex (known as elongation factor P-TEFb). Lineage: Eukaryota; Metazoa; Chordata; Mammalia; Cingulata; Dasypodidae. The record is from RNAcentral.